Non-coding RNA from Peromyscus maniculatus bairdii (prairie deer mouse), 670 nucleotides. The record is from RefSeq and is a predicted model, not a curated record. Lineage: Eukaryota; Metazoa; Chordata; Mammalia; Rodentia; Cricetidae.
CUGUGCCUCAUCGUCCCGCCGCGGGACAUCGGGCAGGCAGCUGGCACCAUGAAGAUCUGGACUUCGGAGCACGUCUUUGACCACCCAUGGGAAAUGGUUACCACAGCUGCAAUGCAGAAAUACCCAAACCCCAUGAACCCAAGCGUGGCGUUGACGUAUUGGACAGACAUGUCAAUCCCUCUGGAAAGCUGCACAGCCAUAGACUCCUCAGCACAGAGUGGGGCCUGCCUUCCAUUGUGAAGUCCCUUAUUGGUGCUGCAAGAACAAAAACGUACGUGCAAGAGCAUUCUGUAGUUGACCCGGUAAGAAAGACAAUGGAGCUCAAGUCCACUAACAUCUCAUUUACAAAUAUGGUCUCCGUAGACGAGAGGCUCACAUACAGGCCGCACACCCAGGACCCAGAGAAAACUGCCCUGACCCAGGAAGCCAUCAUACCGUGAAAGGGGUCAGCCUCAGCAGCUACCUUGAACGACUCAUGGCAAGCACCAUAUCUUCCAAUGCUAACAAAGGCUGAGAAGCAAUGGAAUGGGUGAUACACAAACUGAACGCCGAAAUUGAAGAAUUGACAGCAUCAGCAAGAGGAAGCAUAAGGACACCAAUGGCGAUACAGAUGAUUGAAAGGAAGUCUCCUCCCGCCCCCAGUGCCCAAUGCACAAUGACAAGCCAAUGA